UAAAUGAUUAGUUCACUUGCUGGUACCUUGCUUGCAUCUACAUUGAUAUUUUUCCGGGCUCUUGUUUAAUUUGUCUAGGACGCCAUUAUUGCACAACGGUUUUUGAACGGGGAUUGCAGUAAAGUUGCGGUGUUAUGCCGUUUGACAUUUUACGUAAUUGCGCCAAGGCGACCCCACUUUAUCUAUAUCCACGUCCACUUUCGCUUUCACCUGAGCCGGGCUUUUAUCAAAAAUGCUUGAGCGCAUCUUCAACUUGCCGAAGGCACAAGCUUCGAUGUACAUGAUGCUGACACAGCACUGAGCUAACCAGUUUUUAACAAUUUGAAAUUUACCGAAAGUCCAGUCAAAUAAUGUAAUUUAACAUUUUCCUACUAAACAUUUUGUAGCCUUUCGAGUACAUUGGUUAAGUUUAAUUUAUUUGGCCAGUGUUCCCAUAAACUUUCUGUUGUUUUGGCAGGAUGGUCAACGCGUUAUUGAACUUCAACAACCUCUUUGGGUUGCACAACCACCAGCUGUGAAAGAGACUUCCGUUGACCUCCUCUUAUGCAAGAUGCCAUCGAUGAUCGCGCUUGUUUUAGCCGUUUUUGCGAAUGGUUUUCAGAUUUAACCAAAUUUAAAUGAACUAUGUUCAUGUUCAUGUUACGAUUGAUCAAUCUGCAUUUCCUUCCUAUCAAGGACGUCGAUUUUUCUAACUGAUUAAACAUGCUUAGAAAGCGGCCUAGCGAGCUUGGAAAAAUGGGUCAGGUUUAAUGUGCUUACAGUUAAAUAACUGGUAGAAAGAAAACGGGUUUGCAUGGCCUAUUUCAUGCAUACUUGGACAGGCCUUUCUGGAACAAAAAAACAGAGAAACCUGCGCAAGAGUGGCCUUCCCGACUCAUGACUGUUCAAACAAUUUGGAAUCUGCAUCUCUAAACGUCUUUAGAGACUGUCUUGCCUCACAAGGAUAUGACCUAAUACAAUUAUUUUUUAAUGUUCUUUUUAUAUAAUAAAAAGCGAUUUAGUAAUUUCUUCGUAUUAUGCAUAUUGCCUUAAACUACAGGAAACCAGUUUGAAAACUAGAGAAUAAGUCUUUCAACUACAAUUUAACGAAACAAGUUUGACGGCAUAGCAAUGCAACUUGAAAAAAAGAAAGAAGUUGAACUACCUCAAUAUAUUGGUUCCAUUGAUUUUAUUAAUUGAAGAAGAUAUUUUUAAGAAAUAAACUAAGCAAAAUGUA
Molecule: long non-coding RNA, 1216 nt
Organism: Drosophila pseudoobscura
Lineage: Eukaryota; Metazoa; Arthropoda; Insecta; Diptera; Drosophilidae
Exons: 2
Source: RefSeq, a predicted model, not a curated record